Molecule: ribosomal RNA, 403 nt
Filed under: uncultured bacterium
Lineage: Bacteria
Description: partial 16S ribosomal RNA
Rfam family: Bacterial small subunit ribosomal RNA
Source: RNAcentral
GACGAACGCUGGCGGCGUGCCUAAUACAUGCAAGUCGAACGCAGGGGGGACGGGUGAGUAACACGUGGGUAACCUCCCAUCAGAGAGGAGAACACUUGGAAACAGGUGCUAAACCGAUACUGGCGGAUGGACCCGCGGUGGAUUAGGUAGUUGGUGAGGAAACGGCCCACCAAGGCCACGCUGCAUAGCCGACCUGAGAGGGUGAUCGGCCACACUGGGACUGAGACACGGCCCAGACUCCUACGGGAGGCAGCAGUAGGGAAUCUUCGGCAAUGGACGAAAGUCUGACCGAUCAACGCCGCGGGAGUGAAGAAGGUUUUCGGAUCGUAAAACUCUGUUGUUAGAGAAGCGGUAUCUAACCAGAAAGCCACGGCUAACUACGUGCCAGCAGCCGCGGUAAUUC